This 232-nucleotide ribosomal RNA is filed under the name uncultured bacterium. Its description in RNAcentral is "partial 16S ribosomal RNA". It matches the Rfam family "Bacterial small subunit ribosomal RNA", at positions 99 to 334 of the family's 1533-position model. The record is from RNAcentral.
CGGACGGGUGAGUAAUGUCUGGGGAUCUGCCUGAUGGCGGGGGAUAACUACUGGAAACGGUAGCUAAUACCGCAUAAUGUCUACGGACCAAAGCGGGGGACCUCCGGGCCUCGCGCCAUCAGAUGAACCCACAUGGGAUUAGCUUGUAGGUAAGGUAACGGCUUACCUAGGCGACGAUCCCUAGCUGGUCUGAGAGGAUGAUCAGCCACACUGGGACUGAGACACGGCCCAG